RNAcentral lists this transfer RNA (69 nucleotides) under Acanthobothrium sp. MZUSP 8033. Its description in RNAcentral is "tRNA-Trp". The record is from RNAcentral. RNAcentral also lists the same sequence under 2 other names. Lineage: Eukaryota; Metazoa; Platyhelminthes; Cestoda; Tetraphyllidea; Onchobothriidae.
AUAAGGUUAAGUUAGUUUAGACUAAAUGUUUUCAAAACAUUAAGCGGUGUUGUUAGACACCAUCUUAUG